Trifolium pratense (red clover) is the source of this 1202-nucleotide long non-coding RNA. RefSeq lists it as uncharacterized. Lineage: Eukaryota; Viridiplantae; Streptophyta; Magnoliopsida; Fabales; Fabaceae. The record is from RefSeq and is a predicted model, not a curated record. The transcript has 2 exons.
UUUUGACUUUAAAAACUCUUUUCUCAAAGAGUUUAGACAUGAGUCAUCUAUGGUUGAAAACUCAAAUUCCCCAUAACAUUUAAUCAAAAGAUAUUGAUUCUUUUCCACCUAGGAGAGUUAGUGGCAUACUUGUUGAUUUGAUAUCCAAAUUAGAGCCCUUCCCUAUUGUGAAGCAAAGAUCUAUCGUCAUCAUGUUUGUGGUGGAUUAAAGGAGUUUUAACUUAAGAUGACAACUUGUCUCUUCUCCUAAAAAACAAUCAAACAAACCACUUUAUUAUUUUUACCCCGAACUACGAGGUUUUGAUCCUUCAUUGGUACGUAGGCAUGAGACUUUCGCGUCUUUCCAAAUCAAAAAUUAAUAAAAAGAUAUUUCUUUUCUCAUCUCCCCAAUCAUUUACAAGCAAACAAUUUUAGCCAAAAACAUAUAUAUUACAAGAGGUUCCUAUAGAGUACUAUAGAUGCUUAGGGUGCUAAUACCUUCCCUUUGCAUAAUCAACCCCCGUACCUUGAUCUCUUAUUGCAUUGCUUAUUGCUUUAUCGCUUCUUUAGCUUUGCAUGUUUAUUUGUGGAUUUUAUUCGAUUUUUUCCCCUUCUCUUGGAUAAAUUAAAGUUUGGUGGUGACUUCUUAUUUUGCGAGUCAAAGUCUAAUCAAUAGCUUUGAUCUCCGAAAAUCACCGCGACACAUGUAUAGCUUUCAUUGUAUUUGAAAACUCUCAUUUGAUUGUGAAAGAAAAAUAAAGCCUACCAUAGAAGAAAAAUAAAGCCUUUGUCGUUCCUUCUCAUGUGAACAAAAUUAGCCUCUAAGUCCCAUUUUGAAACUAGAGGAAUUCAAUAUAUCAUGUUCAGAGCCACUAGCUACUACGGUCAUUCAACAAGAUCAACCAAGUUGGAAUACAAAGAACACAAGAUAGGGAUGGAUGGAGCUAAAGAGAAGGAGAGAUACAAGGAGAAAUAUAUUGAAAAUUCAUUCAAGAACUUGACCUUGGUGACUGCAAAACGUUGUCUUCUCCUAUAUUAAAAAGGAAAAAUGAUGAGCUAAUGUUUGUAACGAAGCGGGAGUGCUAUUAUUAAUUUGGCCUAAUCCAUUAGCUUGAGAUCUCUACUUAUACGCACUUUUUUUUCUUUUCAAUUGGACAGAAAAAGAAUGAGCUAAUGUUUGUAACGAAGCUGAAAUGCUAUUAUUAAUUUGGCUCAACCCAUUA